GAUGAAGAACGUAGCGAAAUGCGAUAAGUAAUGUGAAUUGCAGAAUUCAGUGAAUCAUCGAAUCUUUGAACGCACAUUGCGCCCGCCAGUAUUCUGGCGGGCAUGCCUGUUCGAGCGUCAUUUCAACCAUCAAGCCCCCGGCUUGUGUUGGGGACCUGCGGCUGCCGCAGGCCCUGAAAACCAGUGGCGGGCUCGCUAGUCACUCCGAGCGUAGUAAUACAUCUCGCUCAGGGCGUGCUGCGGGUUCCGGCCGUUAUAAAGCCUUAUUUACCCAAGGUUGACCUCGGAUCAGGUAGGAAGACCCGCUGAACUUAAGCAUAUAAUAAGCGGAGGA
Molecule: unclassified non-coding RNA, 334 nt
Filed under: soil metagenome
Description: partial contains 5.8S ribosomal RNA, internal transcribed spacer 2, and large subunit ribosomal RNA
Rfam family: 5.8S ribosomal RNA (bases 1-120)
Source: RNAcentral